Molecule: non-coding RNA, 80 nt
Filed under: uncultured eukaryote
Lineage: Eukaryota
Source: RNAcentral
AUGAACAGUAAGAGAGAGGGAAAAAAUCGUAAGAUGAGAUCACAUAUUUAAGAAUAGUUUUGGUUGAUAGUUUUUUUUUU